AAUUUUGGACAUGAUUAUUUUUAUCUUGUUUUUCUGUUAUUUCGGUUCUAAAUUCGAUUGUAUUAUCAGCUUGUUUUUCUCAGUGAGACAAAGAUGCACUUAUGGGAUCGAGCUGUACCCUUCGAAUAAUCUACUUUCUUGUUCUCUCCAGUUCUUUUUUGCUAUUUUCUUUCUCCCUUUUUCUGUCCUUGUUGGUAGCUUUGAGUUUGCAUUGCUCUUUCUCUCUAGUUUCUUUGUCUAAUUUUGAUAAUUCCGUUUUGCUUACGUCACUGUCUUGUUUGCUACCCCGUCUUCAACGCUCGAUGAUCCAUUCUGUCUCUGAAUUUCGUGAGUGGAGGUUGUAAAUUUAACUUUUUCCUUUGAUUCCAUUUUUAUUUAGCUUAUGCUAAAUUUUCUAUUUAUUACAAUAUGUAGUUGAUCAGAGACAGAUUUCAUUCAUCACAAGUUGUGAUAUUAUUAUUUUCUUUAUUUUUUUUUAUUUCCUUUUUAAAUAUGUAAAUUUUCUUGUUUGUUAUAAAAAAAAAAAAAAGAAAAGUAAUCAUGUCCGAAAAUUUAAUUGAGUAUUUAUUCUAGCUGGCCUAAGUUAUGGCAAUUUAUUUAUAUUUGUUGAAAACCUCAUUCAUCACAUAUGUAUCCAUAGUAAUUUCUACAAUUUCCGCUGUACAGCGGUCAUAGACUCAUAGACUCAUAGACUCAUAGACUCGUAGACUCGUAGACUCGUAGUAUCACUGGAUGUCUUAGUUAUGGCCAUGGAAGCUGAAUCCUUGCUGACCAACUCAUCACAAGGAAACCAAUAUUUCCAGAAAAGAUCUAAAUUCGCAGUAAAAAGGAUACUUCAAGAACUUCUUGUGCAGUGAAAAAUUAAUAAGUGAAAAAUUUGAAUAAAGUGUACGGAGGCCUCCUCACUUCAAUACACCAGGUAUUUACGAAACAACCAAUAUUAAUUUAUGGAAAAUUCACAGGCAACUACUUCGCAAAAAUAAAUGGGACAGGAUAAUAAAUAAAUUUGUAAUUACUUGA
Molecule: long non-coding RNA, 1020 nt
Organism: Nilaparvata lugens (brown planthopper)
Lineage: Eukaryota; Metazoa; Arthropoda; Insecta; Hemiptera; Delphacidae
Exons: 2
Source: RefSeq, a predicted model, not a curated record